Tachysurus fulvidraco (yellow catfish) is the source of this 157-nucleotide long non-coding RNA. RefSeq lists it as uncharacterized. The transcript has 3 exons. NCBI's taxonomy places the organism in Eukaryota, Metazoa, Chordata, Actinopteri, Siluriformes, Bagridae. The record is from RefSeq and is a predicted model, not a curated record.
AGAAGCUGCUGCAGAGGAAACUAGAGUAGGAGUCAGGCUCAGCACUGAUUUCUCCAGCAAGGAGACCUACACAAUGAGGUGUCUAAUUCCACUGUGUGUGUUGAUAUUACAAGCAUUGGGCCAAAGUAGGAGCCAAUCAACAGGUAACAAAAUUUUA